This 107-nucleotide ribosomal RNA is filed under the name uncultured bacterium. RNAcentral's name for it is "partial 16S ribosomal RNA". It matches the Rfam family "Bacterial small subunit ribosomal RNA", at positions 195 to 305 of the family's 1533-position model. The record is from RNAcentral.
GGGACCUUCGGGCCUUGCGCUAUCAGAUGAGCCUAGGUCGGAUUAGCUAGUUGGUGGGGUAAUGGCUCACCAAGGCGACGAUCCGUAACUGGUCUGCGAGGAUGAUC